This 484-nucleotide ribosomal RNA is filed under the name uncultured bacterium. RNAcentral describes it as "partial 16S ribosomal RNA". It matches the Rfam family "Bacterial small subunit ribosomal RNA", at positions 30 to 507 of the family's 1533-position model. The record is from RNAcentral.
AUUGAACGCUGGCGGCAGGCCUAACACAUGCAAGUCGAGCGGAUGAAGGGAUCUUGCUCCUGGAUUCAGCGGCGGACGGGUGAGUAAUGCCUAGGAAUCUGCCUGGUAGUGGGGGAUAACGUCCGGAAACGGGCGCUAAUACCGCAUACGUCCUGAGGGAGAAAGUGGGGGAUCUUCGGACCUCACGCUAUCAGAUGAGCCUAGGUCGGAUUAGCUAGUUGGUGGGGUAAAGGCCUACCAAGGCGACGAUCCGUAACUGGUCUGAGAGGAUGAUCAGUCACACUGGAACUGAGACACGGUCCAGACUCCUACGGGAGGCAGCAGUGGGGAAUAUUGGACAAAGGGCGAAAGCCUGAUCCAGCCAUGCCGCGUGUGUGAAGAAGGUCUUCGGAUUGUAAAGCACUUUAAGUUGGGAGGAAGGGCAGUAAGUUAAUACCUUGCUGUUUUGACGUUACCAACAGAAUAAGCACCGGCUAACUUCGUG